UGGCGCCUGAACAGGGACCUGGAAACGAGGGACUCCGUGAGGAAGAGGACGCCAAAGGACGGUCGACCACUAACCCAGACAAAAGGAGUAAAACUCUUCCGAUCACCACGGGAACCUGCCGCGUCUGAAUCGAAGGUAAGUGGCGCGUCCAAAAUGGGACAAGAAUUAAGUCAGCAUCAGAUCUAUGUAGGACAAUUAAAAGAGGCUUUUAAAGAUA
Molecule: non-coding RNA, 217 nt
Organism: Papio anubis (olive baboon)
Lineage: Eukaryota; Metazoa; Chordata; Mammalia; Primates; Cercopithecidae
Source: Rfam